CGUCACCAUCAGCAAAAAUUCAAUUAUUUAAUACCUCAUUGGCUACAACCAACAGGAAUAACAUUUCAAUUUGAAAUUCUGGCUAUAUUACUGAUCUCAGUUGACUACACCCUACCAAACCGGUCAGAAGACCACGCUCAAGAAAACGACUGCUUCAUAUAAAACCCAUUCCAAAGACCUCAUUCUGCUAUAUUGUUCACAACCAGGAAGACUGAAAACAUCUUAUGGAAAGAGUCCAUCAGAACACCCAGAGAAUUAUCUUUUAAUCUGAUGCUUAGUUUGAUUGCUUCCUCAAACAUCACUGAACACCUUUGUACAUAUAUCCAGAUUAUGACUAAAAUAAACACAAGUACAAUGUAUUUAUGUAUUGUAUCAUGAAAACAAAAUGGCCAAAUUAUGAUGCUAAGAAUUUGUAUAAAUUCAAAUAUAUGGCCUUUUGAUGAAAUAUUUUUAUGUGAUCCAAAUAUUUAAUG
Long non-coding RNA from Anguilla anguilla (European eel), 473 nucleotides. RefSeq lists it as uncharacterized. The transcript has 3 exons. The record is from RefSeq and is a predicted model, not a curated record. NCBI's taxonomy places the organism in Eukaryota, Metazoa, Chordata, Actinopteri, Anguilliformes, Anguillidae.